RNAcentral lists this small nuclear RNA (103 nucleotides) under Carlito syrichta (Philippine tarsier). The record is from RNAcentral. Lineage: Eukaryota; Metazoa; Chordata; Mammalia; Primates; Tarsiidae.
UCGCUUCAGCAACGCACAUACUAAAAUUGGUAUGAUACAGAGAAGAUUAGCAUGGCCCCUACACAAGGAUGACAUGCAAAUUCAUGAAGCAUUCCACAUUUUU